AUGUUUCAGACUGGUUGUCAACCAGAAGUCUCUUGCUACAAACCCAAAUUAGAGGUCCCUCAUGGAAAUAUUCUACGAGAAAGUGACUCAGAGGAAGAAAUGGAUGACUGCAUGGAUCUAAUACCUUGUGAAUUCUGCGGAGCUCUGUUUCCUGUGCAUAAAAUUGAAAACCACCAUAUGCGAUGCAAUUUUGCUAAUUUGACAUCAUCUUCAUCAGUCCAACAAAUCAAUCAAAUUUACGAUAAUGCACCAUUGAGUAGGAAAGUAUCUAAUCACUUAGCUGCCUCAAAUUCAUCACUAUCUCGUUUAUCAGGAGGAGCUAAUAAUAUAGGUGAUAAAAUUAACUCCGGAUCAAGUUCUUUCAAUUUAAGUCUGAGUAAUUAUGAUAAGAAACAAACAACGUCCGAAAACCCCAGUUCAUCUGACGGUGCUGCUGCAAGUGGCUCAACGAACAACUACACUGGUGUAAUUCGGAAACAAAAGGCAGGAAGAACUAACAAUCUAAUCAACCAACCUUAUCAGAUCCCGGAAGAAGUACCAGGCACCUCUUCCUCCAGGGAAACCAGCAGGAACAGACUAGAAAAUUUUCAUGCUAAUAAACCGUAGAACCUUUCGUCAAUGAUGAAGAUGGUAAUAUUUUUUUCUCGGAAGUUUCAAGUUUAUCUUAAUUUGUUCCUUUUUUCUGGCACUCAUAAUUUUAGUGAACUUAAUUGAUAAUGUAGAGCGUUGCCUAUGAGAAUGGAGAGGCCGUAACUACGUUCAUGUGACGUCACGCUAGUAGAUGAAACUCGGCCGCGGUUUAACAUGUGUUCAUAUGGGAGAACGCCUGAUGCAUGUUUCUUUCGUGCUGAUAUCUUCCUCGGGGUUGAUCUGAUGCAAAAAUUCAUAAGAACCUUUUCGAAAGAAGAUGAAAUUUCACUUCAGAAAAGUAACUAACCCAUAUGUGACAUUGUCUAAUAAUUGAGGAAAUGAAAGCGAAAAACCGAAAAUCGUUACUCCUCUCAGAUUCAAAUGCGCCGCUCACGCAACUUCGGCUGAUCGAGAGCCACUCUGAUUGGUCAACGCAAUGACUGCCUCACUCAUCGAUGCACCGAUGACCCGGAGAUGCUUGUUGUAUUUUGAGUCCCUUUUUACACAGAGUUACGACAACUCACUUUUGGUUGGGCUGAAAGUGGCCUAAAAAAAAAUCCAAUUCUGAUUGGUUCUCGCUCAUGGUGUCACAAACUAGUGCACCAAAA
RNAcentral lists this long non-coding RNA (1238 nucleotides) under Bemisia tabaci. RNAcentral describes it as "lncRNA ENSSSA3NGG008307". Lineage: Eukaryota; Metazoa; Arthropoda; Insecta; Hemiptera; Aleyrodidae. The record is from RNAcentral.